UUUGUCAUAUUUGUUGAAACUGUCUUUAUACACCAUUACAUAUUGGUUAGUUAGGUGCUAAAAAGUCAGGUGUCUGUAGUCCUCUCGGGCCUGCAGUAAACACAGACACUUGUUCCAUUCGGACCGAAUGCAAUGAUUGGCUGGGUUACUGUCACUCUCCCUCGCUCUCAUGGCUACCAGACAGGUCAACUGCAGAUUUGGAGUCUUCCACAACCCUGUACUCCUCACCAGUAUACGCUAAUCGGACCAUGCUAGCUGGCCUAGAUCGCAACAGGAGAAAAGCUGAUGAUUCAGUAUACAUACAUCAGUCCAGCAAGGUGUACAACAAAAAGUCCAUGGAGUGAAGCUUGUACUCAUUGAAGUUGGAGAAGGACUAUAGUUACAUUGCAGACCUCCAGAGAACUCUCUCCCUUUGAUGAUAGUCUACUACUGAGGAGAUGCCUAGAAGCAGAACCAGGAGACCUGAUGAUCCCCGUCAACAUGGGGUUCAGUCAGGUGUCCCUGCUCCAACUGUAUUGCCAGAUACUGCAAAACGUACAACAAAAAGUAAUCUGGUUGGUUUUGAAAUGUGGUAAUCAUGUCAGAGAGAUGAUUGUGAUAUAUUAAAUUAAAUAAGUGAUUAUA
This is a long non-coding RNA of Micropterus dolomieu (smallmouth bass), 624 nucleotides long. RefSeq lists it as uncharacterized. The transcript has 3 exons. Lineage: Eukaryota; Metazoa; Chordata; Actinopteri; Centrarchiformes; Centrarchidae. The record is from RefSeq and is a predicted model, not a curated record.